AGUCGAACGAAGUAGCAAUACUUAGUGGCGAACGGGUGAGUAUAAUGUGGGUAUCUGCCUUUUGGUUUGGAAUAACACGGGGAAACUUGUGCUAAUACCGGAUAAGCCUUUACAGGGAAAGUUUUAACGCCGAAAGAUGAGCCCAUACUUGAUUAGCUAGUUGGUAAGGUAAAAGCUUACCAAGGCUACGAUCAAUAGCUGAUCUGAGAGGAUGAUCAGCCACAUUGGGACUGAGACACGGCCCAAACUCCUACGGGGGGCAGCAGUGGGGAAUCUUGCACAAUGGGGGAAACCCUGAUGCAGCGAUGCCGCGUGAGUGAAGAAGGCCUUUGGGUUGUAAAGCUCUUUCGUCGGGGAAGAAAAUGACUGUACCCGAAUAAGAAGGUCCGGCUAACUUCGUGCCAGCAGCCGCGGUAAUACGAAGGGACCUAGCGUAGUUCGGAAUUACUGGGCUUAAAGAGCUCGUAGGUGGUUAGAAAAGUUGGUGGUGAAAUCCCAAGGCUUAACCUUGGAACUGCCACCAAAACUUUUUAACUAGAGUAUGAUAGAGGUAAGUGGAAUUUCUAGUGUAGAGGUGAAAUUCGUAGAUAUUAGAAAGAACACCAAUUGCGAAGGCAACUUUCUGGAUCAUUACUGACACUGAGGAGCGAAAGCAUGGGUAGCGAAGAGGAUUAGAUACCCUCGUAGUCCAUGCUGUAAACGAUGUGUGCUAGACGUUGAAAAUUUAUUUUUCAGUGUCGCAGCAAAAGCGUUAAGCACACCGCCUGGGGAGUACGACCGCAAGGUUAAAACUCAAAUGAAUUGACGGGGACCCGCAC
RNAcentral lists this ribosomal RNA (818 nucleotides) under marine metagenome. RNAcentral describes it as "bacterial SSU rRNA". It matches the Rfam family "Bacterial small subunit ribosomal RNA", at positions 60 to 926 of the family's 1533-position model. The record is from RNAcentral.